Molecule: ribosomal RNA, 1471 nt
Filed under: uncultured bacterium
Lineage: Bacteria
Description: bacterial SSU rRNA
Rfam family: Bacterial small subunit ribosomal RNA
Source: RNAcentral
AGAGUUUGAUCCUGGCUCAGGACGAACGUUGGCGGCGUGCUUAACACAUGCAAGUCGAGCGGUUCUCGUAGUUUACUUCGAGGAUAGCGGCGGACGGGUGAGUAACGCGUGGAUCGAACGUUGGCGGCGUGCUUAACACAUGCAAGUCGAGCGGUUCUCGUAGUUUACUUCGAGGAUAGCGGCGGACGGGUGAGUAACGCGUGGAUAAUCUGCCUGUAAGACAGGGAUAACGCCGGGAAACCGGUGCUAAUACCCGAUAACCUCUUUGGACCGCAUGGUUUGAAGAGAAAAGGAUGCUACCACUUACAGAUGAAUCCGCGGCUGAUUAGCUAGUUGGUGGGGUAAAGGCCUACCAAGGCGACGAUCAGUAGCCGGCCUGAGAGGGUGAACGGCCACACUGGGACUGAGACACGGCCCAGACUCCUACGGGAGGCAGCAGUGGGGAAUCUUCCGCAAUGGGCGAAAGCCUGACGGAGCAACGCCGCGUGAGUGAUGAAGGCCUUCGGGUUGUAAAACUCUGUCUUCAGGGAAGAAAAAAAUGACGGUACCCAAGGAGGAAGCCCCGGCUAACUACGUGCCAGCAGCCGCGGUAAUACGUAGGGGGCAAGCGUUGUCCGGAAUUAUUGGGCGUAAAGGGCGCGUAGGCGGAUCGUUAAGUCCGGUGUGAAAGAUCAGGGCUCAACCCUGAGAGUGCAUCGGAAACUGGAGAUCUUGAGGACAGGAGAGGAAAGUGGAAUUCCACGUGUAGCGGUGAAAUGCGUAGAUAUUAGGAGGAACACCAGUGGCGAAGGCGACUUCCUGGCUUGUAACUGACACUGAGGCGCGAAAGCGUGGGGAUCAAACAGGAUUAGAUACCCUGGUAGUCCACGCCGUAAACGAUGAGUGCUAGGUGUCGGGGGUAUCGACCCCCUCGGUGCCACAGCUAACGCAAUAAGCACUCCGCCUGGGGAGUACGGUCGCAAGACUGAAACUCAAAGGAAUUGACGGGGGCCCGCACAAGCGGUGGAGUAUGUGGUUUAAUUCGACGCAACGCGAAGAACCUUACCAAGGCUUGACAUCCUGUGACAGCCAUAGAAAUAUGGACUUCUUAGUUUACUAAGACACAGAGACAGGUGGUGCAUGGUUCGUCAGCUCGUGUCGUGAGAUGUUGGGUUAAGUCCCGCAACGAGCGCAACCCCUACAGCCAGUUGCCAGCACGUAAAGGUGGGAACUCUGGCAGAACUGCCGUUGACAAAACGGAGGAAGGUGGGGAUGACGUCAAAUCAUCAUGCCCCUUAUGUCUUGGGCUACACACGUACUACAAUGGCCUGAACAGAGGGAAGCAAAACUGCGAGGUGAAGCGAAUCCCUUUAAAACAGGUCCCAGUUCGGAUUGUAGGCUGCAACUCGCCUACAUGAAGUUGGAAUCGCUAGUAAUCGCAGGUCAGCAUACUGCGGUGAAUACGUUCCCGGGCCUUGUACACACCGCCCGU